UUAUAUUUGAUGUAAACUGCAUAUUAAAUUUUGAUUUUAAAGGAAUUACAGAAAAUAAUAAUAUAAG
RNAcentral lists this transfer RNA (67 nucleotides) under Lepidotrigona terminata. Its description in RNAcentral is "tRNA-Gln". Lineage: Eukaryota; Metazoa; Arthropoda; Insecta; Hymenoptera; Apidae. The record is from RNAcentral.